CCUACGGGAGGCAGCAGUGGGGAAUAUUGCACAAUGGGGGCAACCCUGAUGCAGCGACGCCGCGUGAGUGAAGAAGUAUUUCGGUACGUAAAGCUCUAUCAGCAGGGACGAAGAUGACGGUACCUGACUAAGAAGCACCGGCUAACUACGUGCCAGCAGCCGCCGUAAUACGUAGGGGGCAAGCGUUAUCCGGAUUUACUGGGUGUAAAGGGAGUGUAGACGGCAGCGCAAGUCGGGAGUGAAAUCCCAGGGCUUAACCAUGGAACUGCUUUGGAAACUGUGGCGCUUGAGUGCAGGAGAGGUAAGCGGAAUUCCUAGUGUAGCGGUGAAAUGCGUAGAUAUUAGGAGGAACACCAGUGGCGAAGGCGGUCUGCUGGACUGUAACUGACGUUGAGGCUCGAAAGCGUGGGGAGCAAACAGGAUUAGAUACCCGGGUAGUC
This 440-nucleotide ribosomal RNA is filed under the name uncultured bacterium. RNAcentral describes it as "partial 16S ribosomal RNA". It matches the Rfam family "Bacterial small subunit ribosomal RNA", at positions 338 to 795 of the family's 1533-position model. The record is from RNAcentral.